Brassica rapa (field mustard) is the source of this 1306-nucleotide long non-coding RNA. RefSeq lists it as uncharacterized. NCBI's taxonomy places the organism in Eukaryota, Viridiplantae, Streptophyta, Magnoliopsida, Brassicales, Brassicaceae. The record is from RefSeq and is a predicted model, not a curated record.
AAUAAGUAGCAUAUCCACGCCCAUCAGCUCACGCCGCGUGAGUGGCAGUAAACGACGGCGGAGAUGGGCUGGUGGAAGUAGCGGCGGCUGAGAUCCUCGGAGAUGAGCUGGUUUGGUUUGCACUCAAGAGAGAAAAUCAGUAUAUAGGAAAGAGUAAACGGAAUCGAAAUCAUAAAGAAGAGAUUGAUGGAUCGAGAUGUAAUGGAGUAUUGAUUAUGGAGAUGAGGAUCGAGAGAACUGAAACGAUAGAGAGGAAACGGCGAAGACGAAGAGAUAGAGGAGAGAGCAUCGUGUUAUCCGUCUCAGGUUUUUUUUUUCUAAUUGUACCAGUAGAUUGAAACCGUGAAGCCCAAUAAAACCACAUUAAAGCCCAUACAAAAGCAACAUCUUUAGGAGAUCAUACGUGUAUUAUUGAAAUGUUUUGAUUGGCCGAAUAAAUUUGUCGACGUGGACACUGUGAAAUCACUCUAUAUCGGGCUUUUAGUAUAGGAUAGAUUCUUCGUAAUUCCAUGAUCGAAUCUGUAUUUGAGCAUAGAGAAACAAUGACAGAAAUUUGACAAAAGGAUUUACACAAGUAUACUAUAAACUAAUCCAGAAGGAUCACCAAUAAGCAUAAUUAUAUUCCCAGCCUUUAAUGCAAUAUAUUCUCUCCCUAAAAGCCAUAAAAAAUUUUAGUAUUUUUUUUGUUAAAGUUAAAAACUAGUUCUUAAAUUACGCUAAAAAUUUUAUCUUUAAAAAUCCACAUUAAUCAUGGUCUAAAAGCAUAAAAAUAAUAGUAUACGCGGGGUGAACUGAAUGCAAAAUGGCGAAAAGAAACGAUAAAGCAAAUGUGACCUUUAAUGCAACAAGUCUCAUACCAAAAGUCACAAAGAUAUUACUUAUGCAUGAAAAUAGUCAAAAAUGAAAACAAGCAUGAAAUUGGUAUUUAGGAGAGAUAUGACGAUGCUAUAAGUGAAACAAGCAUGAAAAUGGUAUGUGGGAGACGAACCGAAGCAAAACAGGAGAAGAAACAAUAAAGCAAGUGGCCGCAUCUAAUAUGGAUUAUGGAGUUAUUAAUAUCAUAGCCAGUGGUGUGACCUUUUACCUUUACUGCAAUAAGUCUCAUAACCAUAGGAACAAUAGGAACUCAAGUCAUUUACACUACAAGUGUACAACAAUAGGAACUCUCAUCUCAAACCUUAAAUGAUAAAAGUGUCUUGUUAUAAGAAAUUCAUGUUUUAGAGUAUGCAUCAGCCUAUAAAUAAAUCAUGAGACUCAAAGGUAACAAAAGAAUAAACUAUUUACAGUAUUGGAAGGGAGAAAAAAU